Lagenorhynchus albirostris (white-beaked dolphin) is the source of this 666-nucleotide long non-coding RNA. RefSeq lists it as uncharacterized. NCBI's taxonomy places the organism in Eukaryota, Metazoa, Chordata, Mammalia, Artiodactyla, Delphinidae. The transcript has 4 exons. The record is from RefSeq and is a predicted model, not a curated record.
AAAUUCAUCUGAUCCCGCUGGAGCUGUCGGGGGAGGGCAGAGGGGAGCUGCAACUCUUGCAAAGAACCUCCGAGCUGGACAAUCCAUCUCCCGGCUGCCAGGUGUGGCCAGAGGGGAAGGUGAGCCGAGUAAUGUCAUCAGAGCCUUGAGACAUUGGGGGCUCCAGCCGGGAAUACCACAGACGGUUUGCUAUGGAUGAAGACUCCUCUGGAGAAAGCUCACAGGAAGGCUGCUGUGAGAAAUGAAGUCCCUUGCUGUUUCCCCGAUUCCUUCAUCAAGAGGAGCUAAAUGAAGUCACUGCACAUUUGAACGGGGGCCAUUAAAGCGCAGCCUCUGACCAGUUCAGAGGCAGACGUGGGCUUGGACGGCCAGUGACUGAACGGCGGCGGCAUGGAAAAUCUGAGGUGCUGGAUGGUUGAAAUAAAGCUCCUGUGGGAGGGUUAUGUGUGCCUCACUCAACAGUGCUCCCCGACGGGGGCCCAGGGUGUGCACCUGAGCUGUGAAUAGGCUUGUUCAUUGACCGGGGCUCCCCGUUGGAAGAGAGAGGCUUUGGACCAAGGAAUGGGGGACAGCUCUCUACCGACGGUUUCCACUGAAGGAUGAGGAAUCACCGCCUGUAGCUCCCUGGAAAGCAGAAUCAGGUGGUGCAGGUCAGGGAGAUCAGCU